CCUACGGGUGGCAGCAGUGGGGAAUAUUGGACAAUGGGGGGAACCCUGAUCCAGCCAUGCCGCGUGUGUGAAGAAGGCCCUCGGGUUGUAAAGCACUUUCAGUGAGGAAGAACGCCUGGUGGUUAAUACCCAUCAGGAAAGACAUCACUCACAGAAGAAGCACCGGCUAACUCCGUGCCAGCAGCCGCGGUAAUACGGAGGGUGCGAGCGUUAAUCGGAAUUACUGGGCGUAAAGCGCGCGUAGGUGGCUUGAUAAGCCGGUUGUGAAAGCCCCGGGCUCAACCUGGGAACGGCAUCCGGAACUGUCAAGCUAGAGUGCAGGAGAGGAAGGUAGAACUCCCGGUGUAGCGGUGAAAUGCGUAGAGAUCGGGAGGAAUACCAGUGGCGAAGGCGGCCUUCUGGACUGACACUGACACUGAGGUGCGAAAGCGUGGGUAGCAAACAGGAUUAGAUACCCUGGUAGUC
Molecule: ribosomal RNA, 465 nt
Filed under: Vreelandella stevensii
Lineage: Bacteria; Pseudomonadati; Pseudomonadota; Gammaproteobacteria; Oceanospirillales; Halomonadaceae
Description: partial 16S ribosomal RNA
Rfam family: Bacterial small subunit ribosomal RNA
Source: RNAcentral